CCUACGGGUGGCAGCAGUGGGGAAUAUUGGGCAAUGGGCGCAAGCCUGACCCAGCAACGCCGCGUGAAGGAAGAAGGCUUUCGGGUUGUAAACCUCUUUUCUCAGGGACGAAGAAAGUGACGGUACCUGAGGAAUCAGCCACGGAUAACUACGUGCCAGCCGCCGCGGUAAUACGUAGGUGGGAAGUGUUAUGCGGAUUUACUGGGUGGAAAGGGCGUGUAGGCGGGGAAGCAAGUCAGAUGUGAAAACCACGGGCUCAACCUGUGGACUGCAUUUGAAACUGUUUUUCUUGAGUACUGGAGAGGCAGACGGAAUUCCUAGUGUAGCGGUGAAAUGCGUAGAUAUUAGGAGGAACACCAGUGGCGAAGGCGGUCUGCUGGACAGCGACUGACGCUGAGGCGCGAAGGCGUGGGGAGCAAACAGGAUUAGAUACCCGAGUAGUC
Molecule: ribosomal RNA, 443 nt
Filed under: uncultured bacterium
Lineage: Bacteria
Description: partial 16S ribosomal RNA
Rfam family: Bacterial small subunit ribosomal RNA
Source: RNAcentral